UACGUAGGUCCCGAGCGUUAUCCGGAUUUAUUGGGUUUAAAGGGUGCGUAGGCGGACUGUCAAGUCAGCGGUAAAAUUGAGAGGCUCAACCUCUUCCCGCCGUUGAAACUGGUGGUCUUGAGUGGAUGAGAAGUACGCGGAAUGCGUGGUGUAGCGGUGAAGUGCAUAGAUAUCACGCAGAACUCCGAUUGCGAAGGCAGCGUACCGGCAUCCAACUGACGCUGAGGCACGAAAGCGUGGGGAUCAAACAGG
RNAcentral lists this ribosomal RNA (252 nucleotides) under uncultured bacterium. RNAcentral's name for it is "partial 16S ribosomal RNA". It matches the Rfam family "Bacterial small subunit ribosomal RNA", at positions 524 to 776 of the family's 1533-position model. The record is from RNAcentral.